Molecule: ribosomal RNA, 274 nt
Filed under: uncultured bacterium
Lineage: Bacteria
Description: partial 16S ribosomal RNA
Rfam family: Bacterial small subunit ribosomal RNA
Source: RNAcentral
AUACGGAGGGUGCAAGCGUUAUCCGGAAUCACUGGGUUUAAAGGGUACGUAGGCGGAUUGAUAAGUCAGAGGUGAAAUCUUGCAGCUUAACUGUAAAAUUGCCUUUGAUACUGUCAGUCUUGAAUUAGGCUGAGGUAUGCGGAAUGUGACAUGUAGCGGUGAAAUGCAUAGAUACGUCAUAGAACACCAAUUGCGAAGGCAGCAUACUAGACCUAUAUUGACGCUGAGGUACGAAAGCGUGGGGAGCGAACAGGAUUAGAUACCCUAGUAGUCC